RNAcentral lists this ribosomal RNA (577 nucleotides) under Fusarium oxysporum f. sp. ciceris. RNAcentral describes it as "SSU rRNA". It matches the Rfam family "Bacterial small subunit ribosomal RNA", at positions 333 to 873 of the family's 1533-position model. The record is from RNAcentral. Lineage: Eukaryota; Fungi; Ascomycota; Sordariomycetes; Hypocreales; Nectriaceae.
AAACAGCUAUGGGUCAAGUCUGAUAUCUUUAGGAGGGGCGAAGCUCCUCUUAUUGUGAGGGCGAGUUAUAUAACACCAUAGGACUGGCCGUCCCAUAUGAAAAGAUUAUAUUAGAAUUGAAUGAAGCUUUGUUUAUAUAUUGAUAAUGACAGUAUAUAUAUCGUGUCUUGACUAAUUGCGUGCCAGCAGUCGCGGUAAUACGUAAGAGACUAGUGUUAUUCAUCUUAAUUAGGUUUAAAGGGUACCCAGACGGUCAAUAUAGCUUAUAAAAUGUUAGUACUUGACUAGAGUUUUAUGUAAGAGGGCAGUACUUGAGGAGGAGAGAUGAAAUUUCGUGAUACCAAAGGGACUCUGUAAAGGCGAAGGCAGCCCUCUAUGUAAAAACUGACGUUGAAGGACGAAGGCACAGAGAACAAACAGGAUUAGAUACCCAAGUAGUCUUUGCAGUAAAUGAUGAAUGCCAUAGGUUAGAUGGGUGGGCUCGUAUAGUUGAGUUAGUUUAGCAAACUAAUGAUCUAGACGAGCCCACCGUAUAUUUGGUCUAUAAAUGAAAGUGUAAGCAUUUCACCUCAAGAGA